GAACGGAUGGUUUUUGGGGCAUUUCUGUGGAUAUUCAACAUAUUUCAUGCGGGGAAUCGUCGGUUGUAUCUGGCAACCAGCUAGAGUCAGGAACAAAGCAGUGAAAUGGAGGACGGACAGAGCUGGAUGAUGACUACCGUUAAACUAGAAGAAGAAGAGGAAAAGGAACAAAUAUUAUGGAGGGAAGUGAAGCUGAGUAUGAGUAAGACGGACAGUGAUGAUGAUGAUGAUGAUGAUGAUGAUGAUGAUGAUGAAGGCUGCAGGAGGAAAGCUGUGCUGGAGGAGCUUCGUCAUCCCGACCAUGUGUGGGACGGAAUGUUUGCUCCAAAGAUGGAGAAAAGCGGAGAAGAAGAAACGGAGGAGUUUUCAGAUGUGUGCUCUGUGAAGGAAGAGCAAUGCAUGUCUAAACGUUUUGAUGGAUCACAACAAGCUUUGGAUCUGAACAGUAUUCACACAGACACAGUGAUGCGUUUCCAUCUGCUGAAGCACACAUGACUGAAUGUGGUGACGUUCCUCAACGAGCUGCCAUAAACCCAGCAUGACAUCAUCUCUUUCACCGUGGACGUAAACGCCUACACAGUGAGUUCACGUCUGAUCUGUCACACACUGAGUUACAUUAUUUAUGUUGUUCACUCUCAGCCAAACUGCUUUGUUUUCACAGAAUACGCUGCUGUCAUUCACAGUGGGCGGAGUCUUCAAAGAAGGUCAGUAUCUUAGUCGUCAUGGUUUUAAGAAGAUCCACUGCAACUCAUCUAUUCUCACUAACGCUUUCCUGGCUUUUUCAGUUGUUGUAGAUGAUAAAUCUAAAGAAUCUACAAGGUUUUCAUCACAGUUCCAGCAGUGGAUUCUGGUUUGUGCAUCAUCAACGACCAGCUCUUCAUCAGAAUGGCUACAACGGAGCAGAUCAGCAGAGCUUUUGUGCCCCGCCCCCUUCCUCCAGCCCAGUGCCCACCCUCACUGCCCCACAGCAGGAGAUGCUCAGCACCUUCUCCCUGAAGUCAGACAUGAACCUGGAAUGGUCCCUGAAGUGUCUGCAGGACAACAAGUGGGACUUGAACAAAGCAGCACAUAUCUUCACUCAGUUAAAGGUGACACGACUCUAAACAAUCUACGUCAUGGUUUAAAUGUGCUGAUGUCUAAAGUAGCAACUGUUUCUGUUUCAGACGGUGGGAAAGAUCCCAGACGUGUCG
This 1190-nucleotide long non-coding RNA is filed under the name Gouania willdenowi (blunt-snouted clingfish). Its description in RNAcentral is "lncRNA (ENSGWIG00000014557.1)". Lineage: Eukaryota; Metazoa; Chordata; Actinopteri; Blenniiformes; Gobiesocidae. The record is from RNAcentral.